RNAcentral lists this ribosomal RNA (243 nucleotides) under uncultured Actinomycetales bacterium. RNAcentral's name for it is "partial 16S ribosomal RNA". It matches the Rfam family "Bacterial small subunit ribosomal RNA", at positions 88 to 334 of the family's 1533-position model. Lineage: Bacteria; Bacillati; Actinomycetota; Actinomycetes; Actinomycetales. The record is from RNAcentral.
UACUCGAGUGGCGAACGGGUGAGUAACACGUGGGUGAUCUGCCCUGCACUUCGGGACAAGCCUGGGAAACUGGGUCUAAUACCGGAUAGGAGCCAUUUUUAGUGUGAUGGUUGGAAAGUUUUUUCGGUGUAGGAUGAGCUCGCGGCCUAUCAGCUUGUUGGUGGGGUAAUGGCCUACCAAGGCGGCGACGGGUAGCCGGCCUGAGAGGGUGGACGGCCACAUUGGGACUGAGAUACGGCCCAG